GAUGAACGCUAGCUACAUGCUUAACACAUGCAAGUCGAGGGGACACGACAUCGAAUGCUUGCUCUUGAUUGGCGUCGACCGGCGCACGGGAGAGUAACGCGUAUCCAACCUGCCCACCACUUGGGUAUAACCUUGCGAAACUAAUACUAAUACCCAAUUACGUCUCUAGAAUUCAUCUGAAAGAGACUAAAGUUUUAUCGCUUAUGGAUGGGGAUGCGUCUGAUUAGCUUGUUGGCGGGGUAACGGCUAACCAAGGCGACGAUCAGUAGGGGUUCUGAGAGGAAGGUCCACCAGAUUGGAGAUGCGACACAGACCAAACUCCUACGCGAGGCAGCAGUGAGGAACAUUAGUCGAUGGAGGAGAGUCUGAAAAAGCCAAGUAGCGGGCAGGAUGACGGGCCUCUGAGUUGUAAACUACUUUUGUAAGGGAAUAAAGUAAGUAACGUGACACUUCUUGAAUGUACCUUAUGAAAAAGGCCCGGCUAAUUCCGUG
RNAcentral lists this ribosomal RNA (492 nucleotides) under uncultured bacterium. Its description in RNAcentral is "partial 16S ribosomal RNA". It matches the Rfam family "Bacterial small subunit ribosomal RNA", at positions 28 to 507 of the family's 1533-position model. The record is from RNAcentral.